UACGGAGGGUGCAAGCGUUAUCCGGAUUCACUGGGUUUAAAGGGUGCGUAGGUGGGCAUGUAAGUCAGUGGUGAAAUCUCCGUGCUUAACAUGGAAACUGCCAUUGAUACUAUGUUUCUUGAAUUUUCUGGAGGUCAGCGGAAUAUGUCAUGUAGCGGUGAAAUGCUUAGAUAUGACAUAGAACACCAAUUGCGAAGGCAGCUGACUACAGGGAUAUUGACACUGAGGCACGAAAGCGUGGGGAUCAAACAGG
RNAcentral lists this ribosomal RNA (253 nucleotides) under uncultured bacterium. RNAcentral describes it as "partial 16S ribosomal RNA". It matches the Rfam family "Bacterial small subunit ribosomal RNA", at positions 524 to 776 of the family's 1533-position model. The record is from RNAcentral.